UUGGCCCACCAGCCAUCCACUCUCCCAAAUCCCAUUCUCUUAAGAGAGUGGUUGUUGUAGGUGUCAGUGUAUGAUAGCCUACAAACAUCCUCUCCAUCAAAACUGACUCCAUUCUCUCUAAAGAUAACUAUGAGGGCCAUAUCAUAGGGCAAGGGAGCCUUGGACCUACUCAAGGCAUCCCUCAUAGCAUCAAACAUCAAAAAGAAAGGUUCAGGGGAGACUCUGAAACAAUAUGGUGCAUGAAACAUAUGUCUU
RNAcentral lists this long non-coding RNA (255 nucleotides) under Elaeis guineensis (African oil palm). RNAcentral describes it as "long non-coding RNA (EGUI_LNC067704)". Lineage: Eukaryota; Viridiplantae; Streptophyta; Magnoliopsida; Arecales; Arecaceae. The record is from RNAcentral.